UUCUUACCAAAUUAUGAGCUUUCAGCUUCGCUUCAUCUCUCUAGCUUCUCUGUUUGACCUUAACAUUGGAAUGUUGGUUUCAAUGCAGGAUGCCUCCUUGCAGGGCUAUCCAGAGUCACCAAAAUCAGUUGUACUUAUAACAGGAACAGCAGAGUAUAACAUGGUAUCCCUUGAUAGCACAAUGAAGGCAUACCUUUGGGAAAUGGGAUCGCCAUUCCUUCCUUGCAAAACACGACAAGGUGUCCUUGUAGCAAAGGCUCACUCCCUCAGAAUGUGGUUAAAAGAGUCACCAUUUUGCUUGGAUCUGGA
This 309-nucleotide long non-coding RNA is filed under the name Vigna radiata. RNAcentral's name for it is "long non-coding RNA (VRAD_LNC010813)". Lineage: Eukaryota; Viridiplantae; Streptophyta; Magnoliopsida; Fabales; Fabaceae. The record is from RNAcentral.